This 253-nucleotide ribosomal RNA is filed under the name uncultured bacterium. RNAcentral's name for it is "partial 16S ribosomal RNA". It matches the Rfam family "Bacterial small subunit ribosomal RNA", at positions 524 to 776 of the family's 1533-position model. The record is from RNAcentral.
UACGUAGGGUCCGAGCGUUGUCCGGAAUUACUGGGCGUAAAGAGCUCGUAGGUGGUUUGUCACGUUGUUCGUGAAAACUCACAGCUUAACUGUGGGCGUGCGGGCGAUACGGGCAGACUAGAGUACUGCAGGGGAGACUGGAAUUCCUGGUGUAGCGGUGGAAUGCGCAGAUAUCAGGAGGAACACCGGUGGCGAAGGCGGGUCUCUGGGCAGUAACCGACGCUGAGGAGCGAAAGCGUGGGGAGCGAACAGG